UAAAGAUAUGGAGAGGGUACAACUAGUUAAUGUCAUGAUGCGGGGUUAGACUAGCCUGAAAAACUUUGUCGGCUCUAGUUACGCGUCUUGGGGACUUUCCACUUUAUCUCUGUAACCGUCGGUCUGUACUACCCCAAGUUCGAGCGUCGAUGGUCCUCGAGGGAUGAAACUCGGCCAUUGUCUCGAGCCUUCAAGGCGUGCAUACGAGGCGUCGUAAUGAUAGAAAAU
RNAcentral lists this long non-coding RNA (228 nucleotides) under Nicotiana benthamiana. RNAcentral's name for it is "long non-coding RNA (NBEN_LNC025247)". The record is from RNAcentral. Lineage: Eukaryota; Viridiplantae; Streptophyta; Magnoliopsida; Solanales; Solanaceae.